CGACGCGGUCAGUGCGGUACCGAAGACACGAGCGUUGUUCGCGACCGUACGGCGACGGCGAUAAUAUCAAAUUCGUUAUUUUUUAUUUUAUUGUUUUUUUUUUUUUUUUUAUUUUUCGAAUACCGCGCGCCAGUGCGAAAACUUUUCCGGCACAACGUCGACGUGUAACAUAAUAAUAUUAUUUUCGUUUUGCCGGCGUUUAUAAAGGCGGGCGACGAAAAUGUCCGCGGACAGUAAAAAUCUGACCGGUUGUCGUGCGGCGGUCGACGGCGUUUUAUAGAAAACAAAAACAAAAAAAAAAAAAAAAAAACGUUUCGCGUACAAUAAGUUCGUUAACGAUAACUUCGCACCGUUAUUAACGCCGAGACAAGACGGAAAAAUAAACAAACCAAAAAAAAAAGAAAAAAAGAAAACAACGGUAUUAAAUUCUUAUAAGGACUCCGAAAAUCCCAGGUACAGUAUCCGUCGUGACAUUUUAACGCACGUUAAUGACAAUUGCGUAUCACGUUAGUAAUUCGUUCGUACAGAGCGGCUAUUUCGCACCGUUUAAUAUCCGUGAGUAUGUAGCCGCCGGUCUGGUUCGCGAAAUUGUCGCGAUAAAAUAUAAUCACCCGAGACAACGUAUUUUGGUAUUACUGUCUGAAAACGGAUUUACGGAACGAAACGUGUCGUAUAUCUGUGUCGCUUAGUGGACUCUCCCCGCUUCGGAAUCUCAAAAAUUAAGAGCGUCCCGAAAACGCGCGCGGGGACUCGUAUUAUACGUUUUGUACAACGGAUAUCAGGGGAAAAUGUCGAAUUAAAAAACCCGAUCUGUUUUUUACGCAACAUUCGAUCUAUUAUAGUACUUGUACUCGCAUCGUUUAUUUCGGCACGUCGUAAUACGAAUUCCCCCCCCCCCAGUCAUUGGCGCGUGUGUCGCAGGUGCUAUAUUGCGAUUUCAUAUUUUCUGUUGUGCAGGACCGAUAGGUAUCACAGACGAAUGUAUCAAUGACACAUAUCGCAUCUCGUAUCUUUUUUGGUUUCCCUAGUGUAUCUUGCAUCUCGUGUUGAGAUUCAUUAGCAGUGCCGUCGUUGAUUCGGUAUAUUCCGCAACACUUCACCAAAAAUAUUAUGUAGUUUAGCUUGGGUUCAGGGCAUUUUCCGUUCUUUGUUAUUUUUUUUUUUUUUUUUUUUUUUUGUAACGAUUCUUUUUCUGUUUUAUUUCGUUAAUUUAAUCAUCUGUACACUCACGUGCGUUCUCAAUUGACGUAGACAUUAAUUGUUUUAGCGUACCCGUGGCUCGUGCCGUAGUGGCGUUACCAGAUAAAUAUUAAUAGGAUACCUAUUCACUAUCGUAUACACAGUAUCUCGUUAAACGAUACAAGAUAUGCUUGAACAAAACACGUAUUUGACAUUAGGGUUUGUUUUAAAAGGACGAGCAAAAAUCUACCGGUAUAAAUAGCAUUCAAUAAAUACAGCUAUAUGCAUUAAAAAAUUAAAACAAACAUUUACCUUUGUUCGCUAUAAAAAAAAAAUUACGAUUACAUUUUCUUUUGAACUUUUAAUCAUAAAAAUUCUAUGUUUCAACGAUUUCUCAUAGUAUUUCGUUUAUUAUAAUUUACAAUAAGUUCUCACAAGUUAUAAAAAAAAAAAAAAAAUAUUCAUCGGAUUGAUGUUGAAUUAUGAAAAUUCAAAAAUUCAAAGUAUCUAAUAUCUCUUAUAUCUUUCCUAGUUGUGUAUCUCUUACCGUGUCUUAUAACGUAUCUCGAUUUAUGGAUCAAGAUGUUUUGGUUUUUUUUUUUUUUUUAGUAUCUCGCCCAACCCUGCUGAUACGUCAGAUGCAUUUUCGAUUUUCGUAUGGACGGGGUUCACAACGUGAAUUUUGUUUUUUUUUUCCUCCCGGGUUCCCGUGCGUAACACAACACGGGGACAAACAAAAGACUAUGCGAUCUAACCACGAGUAAACUCAACUGCAUUCUCCCAAAACUCACGUCUACCUACUAGUGAUGCAAAUUUAAAAUUCACACCCGGAUUGCGGACGGUUUGAGAUUUGUAAUUAUGUUUUGUUCCCGAUUUCAGAUGGCGGUAAACUGCGCGGCCGUCGGGCCGGCGGCGGCGGCGAUGUACGCAGUGCUCACCGUGUCCGCUGCCGAUAUUUAUUCGUGCCG
RNAcentral lists this long non-coding RNA (2147 nucleotides) under Cinara cedri. Lineage: Eukaryota; Metazoa; Arthropoda; Insecta; Hemiptera; Aphididae. The record is from RNAcentral.